Long non-coding RNA from Erinaceus europaeus (western European hedgehog), 480 nucleotides. RefSeq lists it as uncharacterized. The transcript is spliced from 2 exons. Lineage: Eukaryota; Metazoa; Chordata; Mammalia; Eulipotyphla; Erinaceidae. The record is from RefSeq and is a predicted model, not a curated record.
CCCGGCUCCCCACCUGCAGGGGAGUCACUUCACAAGCGGUGAAGCAGGUGUCUGCAGAUGUGUCUUUCUCUCCCCUUCUGUCUUCCCCUCCUCUCUCCAUUUCUCUCUGUCUUAUCCAACAACAACGACAUUAGUAACAACAACAAGGGCAACAAAAAGGAAUAAAUAUUAAAAAAAAAAAUUUUAAAUAUUAAAGGAGACCAUGUUACCGCAGGUUGGAAAACAUUUAUUUUUAUUUCAACACAGUAGUAGUCAAAAACUUGAUGUUUGUACUUUUGCUUUGUACAGCAACCAAAAUUACUUGAAAAUUCUUUUUUAUUUCUGAGUCCACAUUUCACCUAUGUAACAAAUUAAUAAAAUUUGGCUUAAAUUAUUUUUAUACAACUACAGAUCUGAGUAACUUCUGUUCUGUUUAUACAAUAACAUUUGAGAUAAAUUCUACAAGGAAACAUGAAUAAAAAUUGUUCAAAUUUAUUAGUA